Molecule: long non-coding RNA, 396 nt
Filed under: Mytilus galloprovincialis (Mediterranean mussel)
Lineage: Eukaryota; Metazoa; Mollusca; Bivalvia; Mytilida; Mytilidae
Source: RNAcentral
CAAAGAUUUUUUGUCAGCUUUUUCCCGUUUUAUCCAUUUCAUACAGUAAGCAUGGAGUGAGUCGUGGAUGAUAUUACGACACUCAUUCCAAUUAAUAAUUGACGGGGGACGAUAUUUAGGUCCUUUACUGAGGAAUGAUUUUAACUCUCGGUCUUGAACGAUGUUAAGAUCUCCUGUUAUAACAUGGGAAAUGGGUCCAUAAAUAUAUUCGGAGGUACUACAAUUACAUGAAGUAGGUGUAUUUUCACUGAUAUUAACAUCUUUACACAGUUGACUAUAAUUAAACACAUAUUUCCGGGUAAAUUUCUUGUAAAUAUAACAAAUAAGAGGUAGCUCAGUAUUGUCAAAAUAUCCAGGAAUUUGUUCUUUAACAGAAUGGUCGUUAAAUAUACCGGC